GAUCAUGGCUCACGGAUGAACGCUAGCUACAGGCUUAACACAUGCAAGUCGAGGGGCAGCAUGGUCUUAGCUUGCUAAGGCCGAUGGCGACCGGCGCACGGGUGAGUAACACGUAUCCAACCUGCCGUCUACUCUUGGACAGCCUUCUGAAAGGAAGAUUAAUACAAGAUGGCAUCAUGAGUCCGCGAUGUUCACAUGAUUAAAGGUAUUCCGGUAGACGAUGGGG
RNAcentral lists this ribosomal RNA (226 nucleotides) under uncultured bacterium. RNAcentral's name for it is "partial 16S ribosomal RNA". It matches the Rfam family "Bacterial small subunit ribosomal RNA", at positions 15 to 230 of the family's 1533-position model. The record is from RNAcentral.